GCCCGGAUGGCGAAACUGGUAGACGCAAGGGACUUAAAAUCCCUCGAUGGCAACAUCGUGCCGGUUCGAUUCCGGCUCCGGGCA
Molecule: transfer RNA, 84 nt
Filed under: Halopseudomonas bauzanensis
Lineage: Bacteria; Pseudomonadati; Pseudomonadota; Gammaproteobacteria; Pseudomonadales; Pseudomonadaceae
Description: Pseudomonas sp. BZ93 tRNA
Rfam family: tRNA
About the family: Transfer RNA (tRNA) molecules are approximately 80 nucleotides in length. Their secondary structure includes four short double-helical elements and three loops (D, anti-codon, and T loops).
Source: Rfam by way of RNAcentral